This is a long non-coding RNA of Poecilia latipinna (sailfin molly), 1259 nucleotides long. RefSeq lists it as uncharacterized. The transcript is spliced from 2 exons. NCBI's taxonomy places the organism in Eukaryota, Metazoa, Chordata, Actinopteri, Cyprinodontiformes, Poeciliidae. The record is from RefSeq and is a predicted model, not a curated record.
AAUUCUUCAGUAAAGCAUGAAAAGUUGGUGUGUUACUCAUAAACAUUUGACUUGCAGAUGUUCAUUGUGGAAAACUGAAGAUUCUGAAAUCGUCCUGAUUGGUUACUUUGCAAAAGUCAGUCAGUGGCAUGUCAAGUAACAUGGUGCUUUAAUAUACCUACUUCCAAAACAGUUGAAGUGGUUUUGAAUAAUUCUAAAUGUACCUCAACAAACUUCAUGGAUUUGCACAAUAAAAAAAAAAUCCAUAAAUGGGCAACCAAAAAUAGUUGAGGGUCUAAUGUAUUUUGCAAAGUGAAAACAAUACAAGAAAGGGUUUAAUAUUUCUUAUAGUAAAUCUGACUGACUAAUGACAAAUUCUCACUUUUGUAUAUUUGUUUCAUGUGGAAAUUCAGUUUACCAGCAUAAAAAAACCACUUUUUUCUCCAUAUCUCAUGUGAAAAACCAGGCUCCUGAAUGUGGGUUCUAAUGAGAAUAAUUAAGUGACCAAUAUUAAGGAACAUUUUUUCACAGGUUUGGCUUUAAAGUGGCCCCUGACCUAUAUGGGUUUUCAUGUGAAUUAUCAAAUUAUCCUUUUGAUAGAAGCUUUUUUCACAAGACUAGCAAGAAAAAAGUUUCUCACCUGUAUGAAUUCUCUUGUGACGAUUUAAAUUACUAAUUCGUGAGAAACUUUUUCCGCAUGACAGGCAUGAAAAAGGUCUCUCACCUGUAUGAAUUCUCUUGUGGUCCUUUAAAUUACCAAUCUGAGAAAAUCUAUUUCCACAUAUCUGGCAUGAAAAAGGUCUCUCACCUGUAUGAAUUCUCUUGUGGUCCUUUAAAUGACCAAUUCGAGAAAAUCUCUUUCCACAUAUCUGGCAUGAAAAAGGUUUCUCACCUGUAUGAAUUCUCUUGUGACGAUUUAAAAUACUAAUUUGUGAGAAACCUUUGCCACAUGUUUCACAUGGAAAAGGUUUCUCACCAGUGUGAGUUCUGUAAUGGAUUUUCAAGUCACACUGUUGUGUGUAACAUUUCCCACAAAUGUCACAUUUGAAAGGUCUUUUCUUUGUGCCAGUAUCAGACUGACUCUCUGACUCAGAGGAGCUGCUUCCUUCCCGAUUUUUGCUCUCAACCACUGGAGAGACACGAAGGGAAAGCUGCUCUGUUCUUGUCUCUUCUUCACUCAUAUCAUCUCCCUGAAGAGUAGAAGUCUCAAUCAAAGCAACAAACUGCUUCUGGACAAGCUGCUCUCCCUCCUGACUGCUGCAGAGGUCCUUCUGGUCCUG